Long non-coding RNA from Diceros bicornis minor, 1147 nucleotides. RefSeq lists it as uncharacterized. The record is from RefSeq and is a predicted model, not a curated record. Lineage: Eukaryota; Metazoa; Chordata; Mammalia; Perissodactyla; Rhinocerotidae. The transcript is spliced from 3 exons.
GUCUUAUCUCCUAUAAAAAUAAAGGAUCAAAGGAUCAUGGAUACAAAAAGACUUUUGUGCAUCUCCCUGCCUCCCGAUGGGACCCACCACUCAGACUGGAAGGAAACUACUCUUCUUUUUCUGAAGCUCUCCUGUUUUUUAUUAUGUUGAAUCCAACCUCAUCAAGAAUCAAGCUGCCCAGACGGGGACUACAUUUCCCAGCUUCCCUUGCGUCUCGGUGGAACCAUGUGACUAGUCCUCACCAACAGAAAGCAGAGGAAGGGAUGUGUGUCUUUUCCAGCCCUGUUGAUUACUGGCUGUGCCUUCUCUACACUCCCUACUUUUCUGUUGAUUGGGUGCAGAAGAUACUGAGGUUCUACGGGAUGCAAGGACCACAAGAUGAAUGAGCCUUAUCUGUGAAUAACAAUAUGGAAGAUUGCUCACCAGGAACAUCAACAUUGGUUUGUCACAUGGAAUGGAUGCUGGACAACUGGAACACAUCUCCUCUGCACUGAGCUUUUCAAUAGCUCCGCUUUAUAUAAUCCUCUCGAUCCCUUGCCACCAUUCGUCUGCACUCCAUCACUCAGGAUGAAAAUGGAGUCUGCAACGUGAUAUCUCAGGAAACAGCCAGGUCUGUGACUAAAUACUUUCCCCUAAAAUUCACUUUAACUGACGGUACUAUUAGGGAUACUGUUCUUCUCAUUCUCAUCUGGUAGUUUAUUUCCUUUUCUCUGGUACGUUCUUAAGUUACCAAAAUACUGUAUAAUAUAUGGUUUCUCACCAACUCUCUAGCAGGUUUAUUUCACAACCUCGACAUGGGUUACUUCCCAUCCUGUUUCAUUCUUCUCACUUUUAGUGCCUCUUCCUUAAUAUAAUCUCUUAAAUUCUCUGGAAUAAUUUCCAUACAAAAUGUAUUUAUUCCAUUUCCAUGGACAGAUAUUUAUUCCAUUAAAUAGGAACGGCCACAUCCCAAAUAGCUUUUAAAAUGGUCUGUUUAUAAACCCCUCAAUAGACAUUUUAGUGUAAGAUAAAAAUAUUUAAUGAUUUGGACUAAUGAUGGAUAGCCUAGUCUGAAUUAUGGACUAUUUAAAAAGAACUACCCUAUAAAAUAAAAAAUAUUACACCCAAUAAAAGACAGAAGCUUACAAAUUAUUGAAAGUAAGGAUGC